GGGCCGCUAGCUCAGCUGGCAGAGCAACAGCCUUUUAAGCUGUGGGUCGCCGGUUCGACUCCGGCGCGGCUCA
RNAcentral lists this transfer RNA (73 nucleotides) under Spirochaetes bacterium RBG_13_68_11. RNAcentral's name for it is "tRNA-Lys". It matches the Rfam family "tRNA". Rfam says of the family: Transfer RNA (tRNA) molecules are approximately 80 nucleotides in length. Their secondary structure includes four short double-helical elements and three loops (D, anti-codon, and T loops). Further hydrogen bonds mediate the characteristic L-shaped molecular structure. tRNAs have two regions of fundamental functional importance: the anti-codon, which is responsible for specific mRNA codon recognition, and the 3' end, to which the tRNAs corresponding amino acid is attached (by aminoacyl-tRNA synthetases). tRNAs cope with the degeneracy of the genetic code in two manners: having more than one tRNA (with a specific anti-codon) for a particular amino acid; and 'wobble' base-pairing, i.e. permitting non-standard base-pairing at the 3rd anti-codon position. RNAcentral also lists the same sequence under 2 other names. The record is from RNAcentral. Lineage: Bacteria; Pseudomonadati; Spirochaetota.